This 499-nucleotide ribosomal RNA is filed under the name uncultured bacterium. RNAcentral's name for it is "bacterial SSU rRNA". It matches the Rfam family "Bacterial small subunit ribosomal RNA", at positions 29 to 524 of the family's 1533-position model. The record is from RNAcentral.
AUUGAACGCUGGCGGCGUGCCUAACACAUGCAAGUCGAGCGGUAACAGGUGUAGCAAUACAUGCUGACGAGCGGCGGACGGGUGAGUAACGCUUGGGAAUCUGCCUAUUAGUGGGGGACAACCCGGGGAAACUCGGGCUAAUACCGCAUACGCACUACGGUGGAAAGCCGGGGACCGCAAGGCCUGGCGCUAACAGAUGAGCCCAAGUCGGAUUAGCUAGUUGGUAGGUAACGGCCACCAAGGCGACGAUCCGUAACUGGUCUGAGAGGACGACCAGUCACACCGGAACUGAGACACGGUCCGGACUCCUACGGGAGGCAGCAGUGGGGAAUAUUGGACAAUGGCGAAAGCCUGAUCCAGCGACGCCGCGUGGGUGAAGAAGGCCUGCGGUUGUAAAGCCCUUUCAGUAGGGAAGAAAAGCCGGGUGCCAAUACCACUCGGUCUUGACGUUACCUAAAGAAGAAGCACCGGCUAACUCCGUGCCAGCCGCCGCGGUAAG